CCUACCCAUAACAGGGGGAUAACACUGAGAAAUUGGUACUAAUACCCCAUAACCCGGCAUCGGGAAAACUCCGGUGGUUAUGGAUGGGCAUGCGUUGUAUUAGCUGGGUGGUGAGGUAACGGCUCACCAAGGCAACGAUACAUAGGGGGACUGAGAGGUUAACCCCCACAUUGGUACUGAGACACGAACCAACUUUAUACGGGAGGCAGCAGUGAGGAAUAUUGGUCAAUGGACGCAAGUCUGAACCAGCCAUGCCGCGUGCAGGAAGACGGCUUAUGAGUUGUAAACUGCUUUUGUACGAGGGUAACGCUCUUACGUGUAAGAGCCUGAAAGUAUCGUACGAAUAAGGAUCGGCUAACUCCGUGCCAGCAGCCGCGGUAAUACGGAGGAUCCAAGCGUUAUCCGGAUUUAUUGGGUUUAAAGGGUGCGUAGGCGGUUUGAUAAGUUAGAGGUGAAAUACCGGUGCUUAACACCGGAACUGCCUCUAAUACUGUUGAACUAGAGAGUAGUUGCGGUAGGCGGAAUGUAUGGUGUAGCGGUGAAAUGCUUAGAGAUCAUACAGAACACCGAUUGCGAAGGCAGCUUACCAAACUAUAUCUGACGUUGAGGCACGAAAGCGUGAGGAGCAAACAGGA
This 635-nucleotide ribosomal RNA is filed under the name uncultured bacterium. Its description in RNAcentral is "bacterial SSU rRNA". It matches the Rfam family "Bacterial small subunit ribosomal RNA", at positions 125 to 777 of the family's 1533-position model. The record is from RNAcentral.